GAUGAACGCUGGCGGCGUGCUUAACACAUGCAAGUCGAACGACGGUUUUCUUUCGGGCGGGGCUUAGUGGCGGACGGGUGAGUAACGCGCGGGUAACCUGCCCUGUCCAGGGGGACAACCGCUGGAAACGGCUGCUAAUUCCGCCUAAGCCCUUGGCACUGCAUGGUGCAUAGGGAAAGGGCGCACUCCGGUACAGGAUGGGCCUGCGUCUGAUUAGCCGGUUGGCAGGGUAACGGCCUACCAAGGCGACGCGCAGUAGCCGGUCCGGGAGGACGUACGGCACCAUUGGGACAGGGACACGGCGCAGACUCCGGCGAGAGGCGGCAAUGGGGAAUAAUGCACAACGGGGGAAACACGAAGGCAGCGAGGCCGGGAGAGGGAAGUAUUAGUUAGGAAAGUAAAGCGCUUAAAGCAGGAAGGGAAAGGACGUAACGGGACAAAGAGCCACGGCUAACUAAGGU
This 461-nucleotide ribosomal RNA is filed under the name uncultured bacterium. RNAcentral's name for it is "partial 16S ribosomal RNA". It matches the Rfam family "Bacterial small subunit ribosomal RNA", at positions 28 to 507 of the family's 1533-position model. The record is from RNAcentral.